RNAcentral lists this ribosomal RNA (253 nucleotides) under uncultured bacterium. RNAcentral's name for it is "partial 16S ribosomal RNA". It matches the Rfam family "Bacterial small subunit ribosomal RNA", at positions 524 to 776 of the family's 1533-position model. The record is from RNAcentral.
UACGGGGGGGGCAAGCGUUGUUCGGAAUUACUGGGCGUAAAGGGCUCUUAGGCGGCCAACUAAGUCAUACGUGAAAUCCCUCGGCUUAACCGGGGAACUGCGUCUGAUACUGGAUGGCUUGAGUUCGGGAGAGGGAUGCGGAAUUCCAGGUGUAGCGGUGAAAUGCGUAGAUAUCUGGAGGAACACCGGUGGCGAAGGCGGCAUCCUGGACCAACGCUGACGCUGAGGAGCGAAAGCCAGGGGAGCAAACGGG